GCCGGGGUGCCCGAGCGGACUAAGGGGCUGGCCUGGAGAGCCAGUGGGGGUUUCCCCGCGCGGGUUCAAAUCCCGCCCCCGGCG
The sequence is a transfer RNA, 84 nucleotides long. It matches the Rfam family "tRNA". Rfam says of the family: Transfer RNA (tRNA) molecules are approximately 80 nucleotides in length. Their secondary structure includes four short double-helical elements and three loops (D, anti-codon, and T loops). Further hydrogen bonds mediate the characteristic L-shaped molecular structure. tRNAs have two regions of fundamental functional importance: the anti-codon, which is responsible for specific mRNA codon recognition, and the 3' end, to which the tRNAs corresponding amino acid is attached (by aminoacyl-tRNA synthetases). tRNAs cope with the degeneracy of the genetic code in two manners: having more than one tRNA (with a specific anti-codon) for a particular amino acid; and 'wobble' base-pairing, i.e. permitting non-standard base-pairing at the 3rd anti-codon position. The record is from Rfam.